RNAcentral lists this ribosomal RNA (884 nucleotides) under Otidea gongnaisiensis. RNAcentral's name for it is "partial large subunit ribosomal RNA". It matches the Rfam family "Eukaryotic large subunit ribosomal RNA", at positions 50 to 951 of the family's 3401-position model. Lineage: Eukaryota; Fungi; Ascomycota; Pezizomycetes; Pezizales; Pyronemataceae. The record is from RNAcentral.
ACUGGGUAGAACAACAGGGAUUGCCUUAGUAACUGCGAGUGAAGCGGCAAAAGCUCAAAUUUGAAAUCUGACGUCUUUGACGUUCGAGUUGUAAUUUGGAGGGAUAUCUUCGGAGCUGGGACCGUCCUAAGUUCUUUGGAACCAGACAUCAUAGAGGGUGAGAAUCCCGUGCCUGGAUGGCUGUACCGCUCCAUGUGAAGUGUCUCCGACGAGUCGAGUUGUUUGGGAAUGCAGCUCAAAAUGGGUGGUAAAUUUCAUCUAAAGCUAAAUAUUGGCGAGAGACCGAUAGCGCACAAGUAGAGUGAUCGAAAGAUGAAAAGCACUUUGAAAAGAGAGUUAAACAGUACGUGAAAUUGUUGAAAGGGAAGCGCUUGAGACUAGAUUCAGCUGGCGGUGAUCAGCCAUGCUUUUGUUUGGUGCACUUGCCGUCGGUUGAGCCAGCAUCGGUUCUGAUGGUGGGAUAAAGGUUUGAGGAAUGUGGCUUCGCAACUUUGUGGAGUGUUAUAGCCUUGAGCGUAAUGCCACCUGUUGGGACCGAGGAUUGCGCUUCUGCUAGGAUGCUGGCUAAAAGGUCUUAAGCGGCCCGUCUUGAAACACGGACCAAGGAGUCUAACAUCUAUGCGAGUGUUCGGGUGAAAAACCCUUGCGCGUAAUGAAAGUGAACGGAGGUGGGAACUCCUUUGGGGUGCACCAUCGACCGAUCCUGAUGUUUACGGAAGGAUUUGAGUAGGAGCAUAGCUGUUGGGACCCGAAAGAUGGUGAACUAUGCCUGAAUAGGGUGAAGCCAGAGGAAACUCUGGUGGAGGCUCGCAGCGGUUCUGACGUGCAAAUCGAUCGUCAAAUUUGGGUAUAGGGGCGAAAGACUAAUCGAUCCAUCAAUCGGC